AUGGCGGAGCGGCUCGCGUCCUCGGCCUCCCUCCUCCCCAGCGCGGCCUCGCCUUCCUCGUCGACCCGCCGCGCCGCCGUCGCCUCCGGGCUCCGCCUCCGCCCGUCGCCCUCGCGCUUCUCACAGGCUGCGAGGAGAGUGCGCGGUGGCGCUGGCGCCGCCGGGGUGGUGCCACGGCUGCGGGUGGUGCGAUGCAUGGCGGCGUCGGAGGCCGCGCAGCUCAAGAGCGCGCGGGAGGACAUCAAGGAGAUCCUCAAAACCACCUACUGCCACCCUAUCCUGGUCCGUUUGGGAUGGCAUGAUUCAGGUACAUAUGACAAAAAUAUCGAGGAGUGGCCGCAGAGAGGCGGAGCCGACGGAAGCUUACGAUUUGAUCCUGAGUUGAGUCAUGGAGCCAAUGCUGGUCUUACUAAUGCUUUAAAGCUUAUUCAACCAAUCAAGGACAAAUACCCCGGUAUCACUUAUGCGGAUUUGUUCCAGUUGGCGAGUGCUACAGCAAUUGAGGAAGCCGGUGGCCCGAAACUCCCGAUGAAGUAUGGGCGGGUAGAUAUCACAGCACCCGAGCAAUGUCCACCUGAGGGGAGGCUUCCUGAUGCUGGCCCACGUUUACCUGCUGAACACCUUAGGGAGGUAUUCUAUAGGAUGGGCCUUGAUGACAUGGAAAUUGUUGCAUUGUCCGGAGCACAUACACUUGGAAGGUCGCGCCCUGACAGGAGUGGCUGGGGAAAGCCAGAAACAAAAUAUACAAAGGAUGGGCCUGGUGAACCUGGAGGGCAAUCAUGGACGGCUGAAUGGUUGAAGUUUGAUAAUAGUUACUUCAAGGACAUAAAAGAGCAAAGGGAUCAGGAGCUUCUAGUAUUGCCUACAGAUGCUGCGCUAUUUGAUGACCCAUCAUUCAAGGUAUACGCGGAGAAGUACGCAGAGGACCAGGAGGCAUUCUUCAAAGACUACGCCGAAGCCCAUGCUAAACUGAGCAACCUUGGUGCAAAGUUUGAUCCUCCUGAGGGAUUCUCGUUGGACGCUGACAAGGGUGCCGUGGCAACUGAAGAGAAGGCGGUUGCUGAUCCAGCACCAACAAGUGAUACCAAUGGCGCAGGACCACAGCCAGAGCCCUUCGUUGCCGCCAAAUACUCUUACAAGAAGAGAGAGCUAUCCGACACGAUGAAACAGAAGAUCAGAGCCGAGUACGAGGGCCUUGGAGGCAGCCCAAAUAAGCCUAUGAAGUCCAACUACUUCCUCAACAUUAUGAUCGUGAUCGCAGGAUUGGCAUUCUUGACGUCUUUGGCCGGGAACUAA
RNAcentral lists this ribosomal RNA (1296 nucleotides) under Triticum aestivum (bread wheat). Its description in RNAcentral is "partial small subunit ribosomal RNA". Lineage: Eukaryota; Viridiplantae; Streptophyta; Magnoliopsida; Poales; Poaceae. The record is from RNAcentral.